AGCAAGUCUGAAUACAGUGGUGGUUACAACUAACAGACCAAAACCAGCUACAGAUUUUUGUUCCUUUUUCUCUCUUGCUGCUUCACUUGGCUAGCUUUAA
RNAcentral lists this Y RNA (100 nucleotides) under Otolemur garnettii (small-eared galago). It matches the Rfam family "Y RNA". Rfam says of the family: Y RNAs are components of the Ro ribonucleoprotein particle (Ro RNP), in association with Ro60 and La proteins. The Y RNAs and Ro60 and La proteins are well conserved, but the function of the Ro RNP is not known. The record is from Rfam by way of RNAcentral. Lineage: Eukaryota; Metazoa; Chordata; Mammalia; Primates; Galagidae.